Puntigrus tetrazona (Sumatra barb) is the source of this 845-nucleotide long non-coding RNA. RefSeq lists it as uncharacterized. The record is from RefSeq and is a predicted model, not a curated record. The transcript is spliced from 2 exons. NCBI's taxonomy places the organism in Eukaryota, Metazoa, Chordata, Actinopteri, Cypriniformes, Cyprinidae.
GGUGACAAAAGCGGCAGAAGAGUUGGAGAGUCAGCUGGAGGGAGAUGCUCAAGCCACUUUGGCUGGAAUUCAGAAAAUAAAAGAGGAGUCCCUUGCCUUUGAAGAAAUGCUGCGUACUGCGACAGACAUCGCCACUCGACUGGAGAGCUCCUCACGAACCCUGCAUGUGGAGAUGAUCGAACAGCUGAGGAAAAACACGAGACAGCCGCGCAAAGCUAAAUGACAGGAAAAACAGAUAAAAGUGUUAUAUGGCAUGUCACAUUAAUAUUUAUCCACAAACAGUAAAACAAUGUUGUCACCUUCAACAGUCCAUAUGUGGACCAAUUGACUGCAUUUUAUAUUUUAUGUUUUUAAAGGCACUUUUAUGCAGAGAAUAGACAGAAAUGCAAACUAUAUUUUUCUGUCUCGUUCGAUGUUCAUUUGCGAGCCAUAAUGAAGACAUAAUGGCAUUGUGUACAAGGAAAUUAAAAAAAAAAAAAAAAUCUUGGCAGUGAGGUGACAUCUUAAAAGAAUAUUCUCUUUCCAAGCACAGACAACCCCGCAGCUAUGGUCUGGCUGUCUUGGCGCUAGGGAGCAGAUGGUGAAAAGACUGUGUGAGGGUCUGGAAAUCAGCAGCAUGAACUCUUAUGUGCUGGAGAGAGAGAGAGAGAGAGCAAGAUGGAAAAGAAAGAAAGGAAGUGAUGUCACUAAGAAAAAAAUUUAAACGUGACUAAAAGAGUCAGAAGAAAAAAGAAUCCAAUGUCUUUGGGACUAAAGAAUGUUAUUUUGAAAUAUGUUGUGAUUACUCGAGUCUAUGAUUAAAAUAUACUGUAAGUAUACUAUUAAAAUAUAAGUGUAUAACUCUG